This 484-nucleotide ribosomal RNA is filed under the name uncultured bacterium. Its description in RNAcentral is "partial 16S ribosomal RNA". It matches the Rfam family "Bacterial small subunit ribosomal RNA", at positions 30 to 507 of the family's 1533-position model. The record is from RNAcentral.
AUUGAACGCUGGUGGAAUGCUUUACACAUGCAAGUCGAGCGGCAGCACGGGGGCAACCCUGGUGGCGAGCGGCGAACGGGUGAGUAAUACAUCGGAACAUGCCCAGUCGUGGGGGAUAACACUUCGAAAGAAGUGCUAAUACCGCAUACGUCCUGAGGGGGAAAGCGGGGGAUCGCAAGACCUCGCGCGAUUGGAGUGGCCGAUGUCAGAUUAGCUAGUUGGUGGGGUAAAGGCCUACCAAGGCAACGAUCUGUAGCUGGUCUGAGAGGAUGAUCAGCCACACUGGGACUGAGACACGGCCCAGACUCCUACGGGAGGCAGCAGUGGGGAAUUUUGGACAAUGGGGGCAACCCUGAUCCAGCCAUUCCGCGUGAGUGAACAAGGCCUUCGGGUUGUAAAGCUCUUUCGGCAGGAACGAAACGGUGAGCUCUAACAUAGCUUGCUAAUGACGGUACCUGAAGAAGAAGCACCGGCUAACUACGUG